This 253-nucleotide ribosomal RNA is filed under the name uncultured bacterium. RNAcentral describes it as "partial 16S ribosomal RNA". It matches the Rfam family "Bacterial small subunit ribosomal RNA", at positions 524 to 776 of the family's 1533-position model. The record is from RNAcentral.
UACGUAGGUCCCGAGCGUUGUCCGGAUUUAUUGGGCGUAAAGAGCGCGCAGGUGGUUAAUUAAGUCUGAUGUGAAAGCCCACGGCUUAACCGUGGAGGGUCAUUGGAAACUGGUUGACUUGAGUGCAGAAGAGGGAAGUGGAAUUCCAUGUGUAGCGGUGAAGUGCGUAGAGAUAUGGAGGAACACCAGUGGCGAAGGCGGCUUCCUGGUCUGCAACUGACACUGAGGCGCGAAAGCGUGGGGAGCAAACAGG